CUUCCGUAGGUGAACCUGCGGAAGGAUCAUUACCGAGUGUAGGGUUCCUAGCGAGCCCAACCUCCCACCCGUGUUUACUGUACCUUAGUUGCUUCGGCGGGCCCGCCAUUCAUGGCCGCCGGGGGCUCUCAGCCCCGGGCCCGCGCCCGCCGGAGACACCACGAACUCUGUCUGAUCUAGUGAAGUCUGAGUUGAUUGUAUCGCAAUCAGUUAAAACUUUCAACAAUGGAUCUCUUGGUUCCGGCAUCGAUGAAGAACGCAGCGAAAUGCGAUAACUAGUGUGAAUUGCAGAAUUCCGUGAAUCAUCGAGUCUUUGAACGCACAUUGCGCCCCCUGGUAUUCCGGGGGGCAUGCCUGUCCGAGCGUCAUUGCUGCCCAUCAAGCACGGCUUGUGUGUUGGGUCGUCGUCCCCUCUCCGGGGGGGACGGGCCCCAAAGGCAGCGGCGGCACCGCGUCCGAUCCUCGAGCGUAUGGGGCUUUGUCACCCGCUCUGUAGGCCCGGCCGGCGCUUGCCGAACGCAAAUCAAUCUUUUUCCAGGUUGACCUCGGAUCAGGUAGGGAUACCCGCUGAACUUAAGCAUAUCAAUAA
This 589-nucleotide ribosomal RNA is filed under the name Aspergillus oryzae. Its description in RNAcentral is "eukaryotic LSU rRNA". The stretch from base 215 to 368 matches the Rfam family "5.8S ribosomal RNA". The record is from RNAcentral. Lineage: Eukaryota; Fungi; Ascomycota; Eurotiomycetes; Eurotiales; Aspergillaceae.